GUCACGUCCCAGAGCACAGCAUUCCUGGCUACACUCCCUGCUUGGACCUGGGAGGGCCAUGCCAGCACAAACACCUUCUGCCUUACACCAUAGUGACACAGGGACAGCUGAAUCUCUUCCCCAAUACCUGAGGCCCUCUCACUUAUUGAGAUACUGUGGUCUUCAAGAGACAGGAAGUUUUUCUCCAACAUCUUUCUUAUUUUACAAAAAGGGAAAAAAGAAAUAAUCUGAAAACCUUACAGAAGAAGGACUGACUUGCAAUUUUUAAGUCUCAUGGAAUAUACACGAACUGCAGCUGAGGCUGGAGGCCUCUUGCAUCCUUACCCCUGCUGAGGAAGGAGAGGACUACCCCAUGUCACUGGGUUCAAGAGGAAACCUCUGGGCUGCAAUGCCUUAUUGUAGAUUUGCUUCAAUAUUACAAUAUUAUUACCACCAAUUGAUUAUGAACCAUCUUUCCUUCUGAAGCAUUAAAAUGAAACUGUUCUUUGUCCA
Molecule: long non-coding RNA, 492 nt
Organism: Gallus gallus (chicken)
Lineage: Eukaryota; Metazoa; Chordata; Aves; Galliformes; Phasianidae
Exons: 3
Source: RefSeq, a predicted model, not a curated record